Long non-coding RNA from Pelobates fuscus (common spadefoot toad), 214 nucleotides. RefSeq lists it as uncharacterized. NCBI's taxonomy places the organism in Eukaryota, Metazoa, Chordata, Amphibia, Anura, Pelobatidae. The transcript is spliced from 2 exons. The record is from RefSeq and is a predicted model, not a curated record.
UGUAGGGAAAGACAUCAGUUAUUGUUGCUAUAUAGUGUGUAUUGGCUGUAUUGUCCUGGGUGACCCUAUAUGCUAUAGUGAUGGGUUCCAGGUUCCAUGGUAAAUAAUCAGGCUUUUCCUUACAUUGACAAGGUUACCCCCAACUAUUACCUAUUAUAUCCUUCAAUAUUGUUUAAGAAAAAAAUAUGAACUAUACUAUUACAAUCUGGUAAAA